Molecule: ribosomal RNA, 467 nt
Filed under: uncultured bacterium
Lineage: Bacteria
Description: partial 16S ribosomal RNA
Rfam family: Bacterial small subunit ribosomal RNA
Source: RNAcentral
ACGAACGCUGGCGGCGUGCUUAACACAUGCAAGUCGCACGGAAAGGCCCUGCUUUUGUGGGGUGCUUGAGUGGCGAACGGGUGAGUAACACGUGAGUAACCUGCCCUUGACUUUGGGAUAACUUCAGGAAACUGGGGCUAAUACCGGAUAGGAGCUCCUGCUGCAUGGUGGGGGUUGGAAAGUUUCGGCGGUUGGGGAUGGACUCGCGGCUUAUCAGCUUGUUGGUGGGGUAGUGGCUUACCAAGGCUUUGACGGGUAGCCGGCCUGAGAGGGUGACCGGCCACAUUGGGACUGAGAUACGGCCCAGACUCCUACGGGAGGCAGCAGUGGGGAAUAUUGCACAAUGGGCGGAAGCCUGAUGCAGCAACGCCGCGUGCGGGAUGACGGCCUUCGGGUUGUAAACCGCUUUCGCCUGUGACGAAGCGUGAGUGACGGUAAUGGGUAAAGAAGCACCGGCUAACUACGUG